This 516-nucleotide unclassified non-coding RNA is filed under the name uncultured Glomus. RNAcentral describes it as "SSU rRNA". It matches the Rfam family "Eukaryotic small subunit ribosomal RNA", at positions 569 to 1087 of the family's 1831-position model. Lineage: Eukaryota; Fungi; Glomeromycota; Glomeromycetes; Glomerales; Glomeraceae. The record is from RNAcentral.
AGCAGCCGCGGUAAUUCCAGCUCCAAUAGCGUAUAUUAAAGUUGCUGCAGUUAAAAGCUCGUAGUUGAAUUUCGGGACCAUCAUGUCGGUCGUGCCUCGGUACGUACUGGCAUUGUUGGUUUCUACCUUCUGACGAACCAUGAUGUCAUUUAUUUGGUGUCGUGGGGAAUCAGGACUGUUACUUUGAAAAAUUAGAGUGUUUAAAGCAGGCUCACGCUUGAAUACAUUAGCAUGGAAUAAUGAAAUAGGACGUUUGAUUCUAUUUUGUUGGUUUCUAGGAUCGACGUAAUGAUUAAUAGGGAUAGUUGGGGGCAUUAGUACUCAAUUGUCAGAGGUGAAAUUCUUGGAUUUAUUGAAGACUAACUACUGCGAAAACAUUUGCCAAGGAUGUUUUCAUUAAUCAAGAACGAAAGUUAGGGGAUCGAAGACGAUCAGAUACCGUCGUAGUCUUAACCAUAAACUAUAGCCGACUAGGGAUCGGAUGAUGUUAAUUUUUUAAUGACUUCAUUCGGUCCG